Molecule: ribosomal RNA, 796 nt
Filed under: uncultured bacterium
Lineage: Bacteria
Description: SSU rRNA
Rfam family: Bacterial small subunit ribosomal RNA
Source: RNAcentral
UGGCGCAAGGGUGAGUAACGUAUAGGUAAUCUGCCCUUUGGACUGGAAUAACCCCGAGAAAUCGGGGACAAUACCAGAUGAAGCAGCGACAAUCGCAUGGUUGUUCUGCCAAAGAUUUAUCGCCAAAGGAUGAACCUAUAUCCCAUCAGGUAGUUGGUAAGGUAACGGCCUACCAAGGCUACGAUGGUUAGCUGGCCUGAGAGGGCGGCCAGCCACACUGGAACUGAGACACGGUCCAGACUCCUACGGGAGGCAGCAGUGGGGAAUAUUGCGCAAUGGGGGAAACCCUGACGCAGCGACGCCGUGUGAGUGAUGAAGGUUUUCGGAUCGUAAAGCUCUGUCGGGUGGAAAGAAUAAAGGCUGUGUAAAUAAUGCAGUCUGAUGACGGUACCACCAAAGGAAGCACCGGCUAACUCCGUGCCAGCAGCCGCGGUAAUACGGAGGGUGCAAGCGUUGUUCGGAAUUAUUGGGCGUAAAGGGCGUGUAGGCGGGUAUGUAGGUCAGGUGUGAAAUCCCUCGGCUCAACCGAGGAAGUGCAUCUGAAACCGCAUAUCUUGAGUACGAGAGAGGCAGAUGGAAUUCCCAGUGUAGAGGUGAAAUUCAUAGAUAUUGGGAAGAACACCGGUGGCGAAAGCGGUCUGCUGGCUCGAUACUGACGCUGAGACGCGAAAGCGUGGGGAGCAAACAGGAUUAGAUACCCUGGUAGUCCACGCCGUANACGAUGUGCACUAGGUGUUGGGGGUAAUUAAACCCUCAGUGCCGCAGCUAACGCAUUAAGUGCACCGCCUGGGGAUUA